GGCUGGUCCGAUAAUAGUGUGCUAUCAGAACUUAUUAACAUUAAUGUCACUAAAGUUGGUAUACAACCCCCCACUGCUAAAUUUGACUAGCUUAAA
RNAcentral lists this Y RNA (96 nucleotides) under Prolemur simus (greater bamboo lemur). RNAcentral's name for it is "Y RNA (ENSPSMG00000019717.1)". It matches the Rfam family "Y RNA". Rfam says of the family: Y RNAs are components of the Ro ribonucleoprotein particle (Ro RNP), in association with Ro60 and La proteins. The Y RNAs and Ro60 and La proteins are well conserved, but the function of the Ro RNP is not known. In humans the RNA component can be one of four small RNAs -- hY1, hY3, hY4 and hY5. The record is from Rfam by way of RNAcentral. Lineage: Eukaryota; Metazoa; Chordata; Mammalia; Primates; Lemuridae.